UACAUCCCACCUUCCUCUUUCACGUCUGGUCAGCUCCUAUAAAUAACCAACUAAGCCGGCGGCCCCUCGUCCCCGCGCUCCUCAUCCUCCUCCUCCUCGUCGCCGAGAAAUUCAGCGAUCAGAUUUACAAUUUUACCCCUAGGGUGAAGUCCUCAUGGGUUAUAAGAUGGCAUAUGAGAGUUUGUUGCGGGAUUUUCCUCAGGUGGAUUCUCGUGUACUAAAAGCUGUUGCUAUUGAACACCCUAAUGAUAUCAAAGCAGCAGUCGAAUUUAUUGUUUCUGAAGUUUUACCAUCUUUCACCGGGCGUUCUGAGGUAUCUGACACUGUUCACAGUGCUCAUGAGGUAUCUAAUGAGGUUCCGCUGGGAGAGCCCCCUAUUGAGAAUCAAGGAGAAAAACCAAUUCAACCGGAAUCAAUGGCAUGCGGAACUUUCAUUGAUGGUGAUUUUGUUAGUUUCGCAAAUCCUUCCAGUGUACUAAUUGAAGAUGACGAUGACGAGAUCAUUGUUCUUGAAACAGACAGUCAUUAUUCUUCAGUCUCAAUUUUGAAAGAACAUGCAGUUUUUAUUGGGCAUGACUCUGUAGUGAAGGAUAUCGAAAAAUCUAUAAGUGAAGACCAACUAUCUAGGUGUUCAGUUGACGUUGUUGAUACUGUAUCCAUUGCCUUGGAACCUUCCCAUGAGAUAACACUUUCUGUUAAUGAGAAAAUUAUGGAUCGGGUUGGGAACGAGGAUAAAGUGCCAAAGGAUUUCAUUGCUGCUUUUGGUGAAACUGAAGAUCAUUCAAAGCGUUUACCCAAGAAUUGUCCACAAAAAUUGGCUUGUAUUUCUGAGGUGAUUUCCCUUGAUAAAAAUGAUCAACACAUGGUUCGAUCUACUCGAUCAGCCCGUGUAGUAAACAUUGAUCUUCUUGAAGAUUUCAUCGAGAAUGCGAAAAGCAGUAAGAAAAGUCUAGUAUCUGAGGUGGAGUCAGUUGUUAAUAUGAUGAAAGAGGCAGAGGUUCUUGAGGAGAGAGCAAAACAGGCUAAAGAAGAAGCUUGCAUAGCUGGUCAGGAUAUCCUUAUAAAAGUGGAGGAACUCAAACAGAUGUUGCAACAUGCUCAACGAGCAAAUGAUAUACAUGCUGGUGAAGUAUAUGGAGAGAAAGCUGUUCUAUCAACUGAAGCUCGGGAACUUCAGUCUCGUCUUCUCAAAUUGUCGGACGAAAGGGAUAAAUCUGUUUCAAUCAUCAAUGAGAUUCGUGAAACUCUUGAAGCACGACUAGCUGCUGUAAAGGAUGAAAUAGCUGUAGCUGAGCAGGAGAAAUUCGAGAAGGAACGAGUGGCCCAGAAGGCUUUAAAAGAACAAGAAGACAUUAUGGAGACCAUAGUACAAGAGUCUAAAAAACUGCAGCAGGAAGCAAAGGAAAAUGGCAAGUUGAGGACUUUCUUGGAGGACCGUGGUCAAGUUGUAGAUACCUUGCAAGGAGAAAUUGCUGUGAUUUGUGAGGAUGUUAUAUCACUUAAAAAUAGAGUCGAUGAGCAUGCUCCACUCAGGGGAUCACUGCUAAUGACAACAUACAGCUCGUCCUCUUUGUUCAGCUCAUAUAGUCAAAAGAACAUUCCUUCAGCAGAUGAGUUGCCUGUGGAAGUAGAUGAGAACAAUAGAGAUAGCGGCGAAGACCAAUCGGGAAGUCGGGAGCAAGAAAACAUAGCUGCGAGCAGUGUGCAGAAAUCAGCUUCAGAUAAUGACUGGGAAUUCUUGAAAUAUGAAGGUUUCCCAUCAUAAAAAUUAAGUCCUUGAAAAUUUUGAUUGAAAUUAUGAAAUUUGUGCACUACAAAGACGUCACCUUUCCUCCUGUGAACAUGUAGGUAUCAUAAAUUGGAUGACGGGCCAAUGGGUUGAAGACUGUUGGAUGAUCACUGACGCUAAGUUUUCGAGUGAUCAGGCAAAUAGUACGGAUGGAUGAAAAUGACG
RNA transcript from Asparagus officinalis (garden asparagus), 1954 nucleotides. It is a transcript of the gene named laminin subunit beta-1-like, with no coding region annotated. The record is from RefSeq and is a predicted model, not a curated record. The transcript is spliced from 10 exons. Lineage: Eukaryota; Viridiplantae; Streptophyta; Magnoliopsida; Asparagales; Asparagaceae.